UCAUUUUUGUGAUUUGCAGCU
RNAcentral lists this microRNA (21 nucleotides) under Eptatretus burgeri (inshore hagfish). RNAcentral's name for it is "Ebu-Mir-153-P6_5p* (star (passenger))". RNAcentral also lists the same sequence under 11 other names. Lineage: Eukaryota; Metazoa; Chordata; Myxini; Myxiniformes; Myxinidae. The record is from RNAcentral.